RNAcentral lists this ribosomal RNA (500 nucleotides) under Chrysomela confluens. RNAcentral's name for it is "partial 12S ribosomal RNA". Lineage: Eukaryota; Metazoa; Arthropoda; Insecta; Coleoptera; Chrysomelidae. The record is from RNAcentral.
AAAUAAUACAAUUAAAUUAUUUUAGUUUUAAUAAAUUGAUAAUUUUGAAUUUUACAAAUAAAUUUAAUAAGUGAAAUUUUAAAUUUUGUUAAGAUUUAUAUUUUUUAAUGAUUUAAGAAAUUUUAGAUAUAAACUAGGAUUAGAUACCCUAUUAUUUAAAAUGUAAUUUUAAAAACUAAAUUAAUACAAGAUAUGUUCUCGAAAAUUAAAGAUUUUGGCGGUAUUUUAGUCUAUUCAGAGGAACCUGUUCUAUAAUUGAUAGUCCACGAUUUAAUUUACUUGUUUUAUUAAUUUAUAUAUCGUCGUAGUUUGAAUAUUUUAUUAGAAUUUUAAUAUUCAAGAUUUUUAAUAAUAAAAAAAAUCAGAUCAAGGUGUAGUUUAUAGACAAGUAGAAAUGGGUUACUAUAAUAUAAAUUUAGGAUAAUUAUUUUUGAAGUAAUUUGAAUGAGGAUUUGAAAGUAAUUUUAAUUGAUUAAUUAAAAUGAUUUUAGCUCUAAAAU